This 377-nucleotide ribosomal RNA is filed under the name uncultured eukaryote. RNAcentral's name for it is "partial 18S ribosomal RNA". It matches the Rfam family "Eukaryotic small subunit ribosomal RNA", at positions 592 to 976 of the family's 1831-position model. The record is from RNAcentral.
CAAUAGCGUAUAUUUAAGUUGCUGCAGUUAAAAAGCUCGUAGUUGGAUUUCGGGUGGGAAUGGCCGGUCCGCCGUUUCGUUGUGCACUUGCUACGCCCACCUUGCUGCCGGGGACGUGCUCUUGAGUUCACGCUCGGGACACGGAGUCGGCGAGGUUACUUUGAGUAAAUUAGAGUGUUCAAAGCAGGCCUACGCUCUGAAUACAUUAGCAUGGAAUAACACGAUAGGACUCUGGCCUAUCUUGUUGGUCUGUAGGACCGGAGUAAUGAUUAAGAGGGACAGUCGGGGGCAUUCGUAUUUCAUUGUCAGAGGUGAAAUUCUUGGAUUUAUGAAAGACGAACUACUGCGAAAGCAUUUGCCAAGGAUGUUUUCAUUAA